GCGGCCGCCGGAGCGACGCCUGGACCUCGGCCUGAGGAAACGCCUUCACGAGGAGAGAUGAAGAAGAAACCCGUAUAUAAUCAGAGUGUGGGUGAUCAGGAGAGUGAAGAUGCGGAAGGUGAAGAAAACAGAAAUAAUGCUGAUACUUCUGGCUUACUGUACAGUGAGGUGGACAGAUGUCCAAUCUGUCUUAGUUGCCUAUUAGGGAAGGAAGUUGGUUUUCCAGAAAGUUGUAAUCAUGUCUUCUGUAUGGCCUGUAUUCUUAAAUGGGCAGAGAUACUGGCUUCUUGUCCAAUCGAUCGGAAACCCUUUCAGGCAGUGUUUGAACUCCGUGCAUUUGAAGGUUGUGCUAAGAUUCAGGUAAAAAGACGGUCGAGAGAAUUAGACGACAAGGAAAAUGAGGAGUCUUUUAAGAAACAACUCGUUUAUCAUGAAAGUUCCAAAAGCGACAAGAGAAAAGGAAACACUGUAAGAGAAGAUCUGUUAUGUGAGAGAUCUGAUGACUUGAAGGUGUUGUAUAGAAACUUUUCAAACAAUAAAAUGGGUGGAAAGAAAAAUGCUACAGUAAAGACAAACAAGGUUCAAAGAUUGAAUCAGUGUACAGAUUCUUGUGUGAGAAGUGACAUGCCCAGUGUAUCUUCAUGUGACG
RNAcentral lists this long non-coding RNA (649 nucleotides) under Rattus norvegicus (Norway rat). Its description in RNAcentral is "long non-coding RNA NONRATT027286". Lineage: Eukaryota; Metazoa; Chordata; Mammalia; Rodentia; Muridae. The record is from RNAcentral.